UACGUAGGGGGCAAGCGUUGUCCGGAAUCAUUGGGCGUAAAGAGCGCGUAGGCGGCCCUGUAAGUCCGCUGUGAAAGUCGGGGGCUCAACCCUCGGAUGCCGGUGGAUACUGUCGGGCUUGAGUACGGAAGAGGCGAGUGGAAUUCCUGGUGUAGCGGUGAAAUGCGCAGAUAUCAGGAGGAACACCAAUGGCGAAGGCAGCUCGCUGGGACGGUACUGACGCUGAGACGCGAAAGCGUGGGGAGCAAACAGG
RNAcentral lists this ribosomal RNA (253 nucleotides) under uncultured bacterium. RNAcentral describes it as "partial 16S ribosomal RNA". It matches the Rfam family "Bacterial small subunit ribosomal RNA", at positions 524 to 776 of the family's 1533-position model. The record is from RNAcentral.